GACGAACGCUGGCGGCGUGCUUAACACAUGCAAGUCGAACGGUGAAGCGCCUUCCUUUUUGGUGGGUGUGGAUGAGUGGCGAACGGGUGAGUAACACGUGAGUAACCUGCCCCCUUCUUCUGGAUAACCGCAUGAAAGUGUGGCUAAUACGGGAUAUUCUGGGUCUGUCGCAUGAUGGGUCUGGGAAAGAUAUUGUUUCGGUGGGGGAUGGGCUCGCGGCGUAUUAGCUUGUUGGUGGGGUGAUGGCCUACCAAGGCGGCGAUGGGUAGCCGGCCUGAGAGGAGGGUCGGCCACACUGGUGCUGAUGCGCCGUCCAGACGCCUCCUGCAGGAGGCAGUAGGGAAGAUUCUGGCACAGGCGGAGGCCGGACGAAGCAGCGACGCGGGAGGAGUGAUGGACUUCGGCUGGUAGUGCUCUUCUUUCAGCAAUGAAGCAGUGUUGCAUUGUGUGUGCGUGGCUUGACGGUACCUGGAUAAGAAGCGCCGGCUAACUACGUG
This 497-nucleotide ribosomal RNA is filed under the name uncultured bacterium. RNAcentral's name for it is "partial 16S ribosomal RNA". It matches the Rfam family "Bacterial small subunit ribosomal RNA", at positions 28 to 507 of the family's 1533-position model. The record is from RNAcentral.